GCUUCCUGUUUUUCUUGGCGGGGUCGUCUUGAGCAGCCCGCCACGUGUAGAUGCUUUUGAGGACGCGACAUUCCUCCAUCGUGUGGUUGGAUUUUGGAUGCAGUUGGCAUGGCCCCUUCAACGUCUUGUUGUAAUCUUCCUGGUAGUCUCACCGCGCAUUGGGACACUUGACCGUAUUUACCUCGUGGUCGUGGUCGCGAGGGCGCUUGCCUCUGAAGUCAUCGCGAUUGUCACGCCGCCUGUCCCAACCUUCUCUGUGGUCGCGGUUGUCGGGGCGACGAUGGUUCCUGUUGUCGAAACGACCACGACUGUCGUCUCGUCGAGGAGGCUGGUCGGGAUCUCUCGCAUCGUCCCGGAUGAGUUUUUCUGCGUCGUCGGCGUCGGCGUAAUUUUUAGCCGUGGCAAGGAUCUCGGCCAUCGUCAUUGGCCUUUUGCGCAGUAGCUUGUUCCUCAGUGCUUCAUGGAAGCGUAGCUC
Molecule: long non-coding RNA, 475 nt
Filed under: Sorghum bicolor (sorghum)
Lineage: Eukaryota; Viridiplantae; Streptophyta; Magnoliopsida; Poales; Poaceae
Description: long non-coding RNA (SBIC_LNC003113)
Source: RNAcentral